RNAcentral lists this ribosomal RNA (502 nucleotides) under Tsukamurella pulmonis. RNAcentral describes it as "bacterial SSU rRNA". It matches the Rfam family "Bacterial small subunit ribosomal RNA", at positions 1 to 522 of the family's 1533-position model. Lineage: Bacteria; Bacillati; Actinomycetota; Actinomycetes; Mycobacteriales; Tsukamurellaceae. The record is from RNAcentral.
UGGAGAGUUUGAUCCUGGCUCAGGACGAACGCUGGCGGCGUGCUUAACACAUGCAAGUCGAACGGUAAGGCCCCUUCGGGGGUACACGAGUGGCGAACGGGUGAGUAACACGUGGGUGACCUGCCCUGUACUUCGGGAUAAGCCUGGGAAACUGGGUCUAAUACCGGAUAUGACCUUCCCCUGCAUGGGGGUUGGUGGAAAGCUUUUGCGGUACAGGAUGGGCCCGCGGCCUAUCAGCUUGUUGGUGGGGUAAUGGCCUACCAAGGCGACGACGGGUAGCCGGCCUGAGAGGGCGACCGGCCACACUGGGACUGAGACACGGCCCAGACUCCUACGGGAGGCAGCAGUGGGGAAUAUUGCACAAUGGGCGAAAGCCUGAUGCAGCGACGCCGCGUGAGGGAUGACGGCCUUCGGGUUGUAAACCUCUUUCAGUAGGGACGAAGCGCAAGUGACGGUACCUACAGAAGAAGCACCGGCCAACUACGUGCCAGCAGCCGCGGUA